This 350-nucleotide long non-coding RNA is filed under the name Vigna radiata. Its description in RNAcentral is "long non-coding RNA (VRAD_LNC011294)". The record is from RNAcentral. Lineage: Eukaryota; Viridiplantae; Streptophyta; Magnoliopsida; Fabales; Fabaceae.
GGGUGAAUAGUGUGAAAAAGUGAAAAGUUGAUGUAUUUUUACAGAACUGAUGAAGAAGAUAAUAGUAUAUAUAUUAUAAAGAAAAGUUGAAUGGAAGUGAAAAGCACCUGAGGAGUGAUUGGAGAAGGGACUGUUGUCUGAAAUUCAGUAGGGGCAGGGUGUACUGUGUCAUUACCGUUUAGGGACAUUGACAUGGAAAGGGCAUAAAAGGUUUCUGAACCCACCUUUGCUGUGUUUAGCUGCCUUGGGUUGCAUGCAAUGAUGCAAUGCAAUGCCUGGCUGCUACUAUCCCAAAGUCACAUCAGGGAGGGACACCCAAUAAUACUACAAAUAAUAAUCCAUCAUUUUCU